RNAcentral lists this unclassified non-coding RNA (1550 nucleotides) under Leishmania donovani. RNAcentral describes it as "gene:unknown". The record is from RNAcentral. Lineage: Eukaryota; Euglenozoa; Kinetoplastea; Trypanosomatida; Trypanosomatidae.
ACGGAUACACACCUCACCUCCGGCUGCACCCCUAAGAGUGACCUGGUGACUCGGGAAGUUCUCUCCAUCAGGCGCCAAGCGACGUCGCGCUCAGCUCUCGCAUGAUUCGAGUGGGCGCCAGCUCGCACCACCCGGCGUGGGACGCGAAAGGGCGAUCCGACCGGGCAGGGGCCACCCCCGCACGACCGGUUUAAGGGCGGAUGCCUGGCCUGUGCAGGCGAUAACGACACCCCGGCACGGCGCAGCGCAGACGGGGCCACGGAAGCGUCAACGGACGCCACCCCGGGGCUCGACUGCUUCAUCAAGGACUGGGGCGCCGCCACCACGGCGCCAAGUGACCACGGCGCGAUCCAACUCGCUGUCCACUUUUAGUAGGCUAAUGUCGUGGUGCUGCCAGUGACGACAGAGGUACAAUUAUGCGCUUUUCAUAACGCGAACCGGGAGCUACAUCCCGGAGCAGGUCGCAGGACGUAGAUAAUUGCGAGGACUGCGCACGUGCGCCGUCUAGCAUAGCUGGCGUGGUGUAUCGCAUCCGAGCAAGGCAUCCAGAAGUCCAAAGAGCACGAGGGAUGGACAGAAAAGGCGCGAAGAGAUGCGCACCGAUCAACGUCACAGCGCAUGUAGUGGAAGCAUGACGCGAGCACUGCGAAUGUCACCAUCGAGUCGUCACAACUCGAAUAUGUCGAGCCUACACACAUCAUGGCAUGCCGCGGCUUGAAACGAGCCAGGGGGGAAGUAUGCCACGGUGGCCAAGCACAGGGUCUCUGAGGGCCCUGACCUGAAGCUGGUCGUCUUCCUCCUCGAGCUCCUCCGCCAUGCACCUGUGCCAGCCCUUGUUGCCCGCACGGUCGACGCCGCCACGGCCGUCACCCUCGAGGGCAGGACCUUGGACGCGGCAUGCUUUGCAUCGAGGCGUGCUGUCCAUCCGAGUCGCCUGUCUGGCGCCGAUCGCGCAGCACGCAUCCGAGAGGAGGUGCGAGGAAAGGACAAGAAGAGCCGUUUGGUCGCACGGCCCCGAUGCGACGCAGGACGGCAUGACCCAGACGAUGACGAUGCAGCCGUAUCCCUGCGAAGGCGGGUGAGCUAUGGUUAUGUGUGGUUGUGUUUGUGUGUGUGAGUGUACUCGUGGACCUGGCUGUGGUGGACUUUCCGAACACGCAAAAAAAAAAGAAACCGAUUUUUUUGGUCCUCGGUGCUCCCUCUGAGGGUAGCCGCGGCUGUGCACACGCACAGACGCUCGCCCGGCACGCGCGACCGCUGGCGUGCCCCCCCUGCUGUUUUUUCAGACCUCGGGGAUGCCCCUUGUGGCUCCGCCGUGAGCGGGAUGGUGAGAAAGAAGGAUGACGGCGCGUCUGCACUGGCCCCUCUCCGAUGGCGCAGCUCCAGUGUACGCACGCCAUCGUUCACGGGCGUUAAAGGAAACGGAGAAGAGGAGGUGAGGGAGGCGCGCAACGGAGCGAGCUAUGCGGUCCUCUGUACCACGGGCGCUCACACCUUCACCCCCACCCACUCCUACCCUUUAUCGCAUUCAUUCUUGUUUUGCGAGUCAG